This is a long non-coding RNA of Melospiza melodia melodia, 9503 nucleotides long. RefSeq lists it as uncharacterized. Lineage: Eukaryota; Metazoa; Chordata; Aves; Passeriformes; Passerellidae. The transcript is spliced from 2 exons. The record is from RefSeq and is a predicted model, not a curated record.
AGCAGGUUCAUCCUUUUAUUAAGAUGACAGCACCUCCUGUUUUUGCUCUUUGAUUCCUCUUGUUUUCAUGCUGCCUUGCUGCUGUCUCCAGAGCUGUGCCCAGAUGCUCCUGUUGUUCCUCCAGCCAUGACUGCUGGUUCUGGACUUGCACAGCCACGCAGCAAAGCAGCUGACACCUUCUCUGCUCCUGCUUUUCCUUCUGGGCUCAUGGACAUGCUGGGGGUUGUGGGCUGUGAAUCCAUGCCCUCAAGGCACAUUUUUGGGAAGUGUGCUUUAGAAAGCACUGGCUGACACUGUCUGCAGCAUUCUGGGUUUCCCAGCUUUGCCUGAUAGAGGUGCAAUCCCCCUCCUGUCCACAAUGCCUGCCUUAUCCUGCCAUUAAUUUGCAGCCUCUAAAGCAGUUGGAUCACACCAGGUGGGGUCCCCAAGAUGCCCAAGAGCAGCCCAGCUGGUGCAGGGUCCCAGAGGAGAAAAGGGUGGGAGAAGGCAGGGAGAGGUCUUGGCUCCAGAGACUCCCAGGUAUGAGUGUGCCUCGGACCUCCACACCUCCUCCUGCAGCCAGGGGAGCUUUCUGGCCAUUUGCAACUUCUGGUUUUGAGGUUAAUACCCCAGCCCCUCCCCAAUGCAGCUUUUUGCAGGCUGUGGUUCUUUCUCAGAUUAUUUAAACCCCCUUUCCUUAAAAACUAUGUGAGGAUGUUGGAAUAGAUCUUUUGCAAUCUGUUCCCAGGGAGCAAGGGUGCUCGUAGAGCUGGGGUGGAAUGGGCUGAUUGCUUCCACGUGGGGCCAAAGAAACCCCAAACAUCUGUGAGGGCAAGAAGGAAGAUACAGAACAAUCACAGUUUUAAAAUGAGAUUCAGGACAAAUCACAGUUUACCAGUUUUACAUCCAAGAAAAGGAUGCUUUGACUUUUCCCCAGACGUUUUUCUCUGAAGAUGCUGACCUGGCUGUUGCCACUGGGAGAGGAUGCAGUGAAUCCUCAGCUCUCAGGUGGGCUGGCUGCUGCCAGAAUGACACAGUGCUGGGGUUUGACCCCAAAUGGCAGCUCAGCACCAUCAUCCACUCACUCACUCCCCCUGAUGGGAUGGGAGAGAGAAUCGGAAGGAGGAAAGUGAGACAAACUGGCAGCCCAGAUAAAGACAAGGAAAGAAAAAGCUACAUGCACCAGCAAAGCAAAGCAAGGAAUCUGUUCCCUCCUGCCAUUGCAGACAGGUGUGCAGGCACUCCCAGGACAGCAGAGCUGUGUGCUCUGGGAUGAUCUGCAUCAAGGGAAAUUCAGGCUGGAUAUUAGGAAGAAGAUUUUUACAGAAAGGUGAUAAAGUUCUGGAAUGGCUGCCCAGGGAGGUGGUGGAGCCCCCAUCCCUGGGUGUGUUUAACAAAGCCUGGAUGUGGCGCUGGGUGCCAGGGUUUAGUUGAGCUGUUUGGGCUGGGUUGGACUCAAGGAUCUUUAAGGUCUCUUCCAACCCAGUCUGUGAAUUCUGUGACUAUCCUUUGGGUCAGUGGCAGCCAGCUGUCCUGGCUGUGUCCCCUCCCAGCUCCUUGUGCACCCCCAACCUGCUCACUGGUGGGGUGAUAUGAGAAGCAGAAAAGACCUUGGCUCUGUGUAAGCCCUGCUCAGCAACAACAAAAACAUCUCUGUGUUAUCAGCCAUGUUUUCAGCACAAAUCCAAAGCACAGCCCCACAGCAGCUAUUGGGAAGAAAAUUAAUUCUACCCCAGCCACAACCAGCACACAGAAUCCCAGCUCCCCAUCCUCUGUGGGGUUUGGUUUACAUGACUCUGAAAGGAAAACUCUCCCAAAACUCACACAAGGAAGAGCAAACCAUGCAGAUGGAGCUGUGUGGGGCAGACAGGGGCUCAGAUCCCUGGCUGGAUUGCAAGCAGCUGAUGUUCCUUUGGUGGAACCUUUUGUUGCAUGCAGAUAAUUCUAGGCCCUGCACCCACCUAGUGAUUUUAGUGCCCCUGGUUUUGAAUCCUCUUUUCCUGUGGUAGUAAGCAGCAGCCACAAGGCUAAUGGGUGUAUUCAAGACCUGUUCUAGCAGUGUUAAACUCAUUGCAGAAGCUCAGGACCUGCCUUUUGGCUCCUGGGGGCAAAUGUGUGUGUGAGUGAGUGAAUGCAGCCCUGCAGGCACAGCUGAUACCUAAAGCAGUAAUUUCAAGGAUGCUACAUAAACCCAGGAAUAGAGCAAUACCUACCUGGAGGAGAGCAGAGGCACUGGAACUUAAUUUAAACUCUUCCAACUCCCCUCCCUCCCAAUUCUAAGAUAAAUGGACACAAACAUGCCCUGGAAGCUCUUGUGGAGCCCAGCCAGAGAUGGGCAGGAAGGAGCCAAAGGCAAAUCCACAGCUUGUCUUGCUGUGCAGGAGGCUGGGAGAGGUGUUUAUAAACACCUUUUCUGCUCACAGUGCUCCUGGCCCCUCUCUGGCUCAUGGCCAGCCAUGGCCCUGCUCCAAGCUUGUUUUGCAGUGUUUCAUCCCCCGUGCUUUGCCUUGGUGCUGAGGCUGAGCAGGGGCUUGCCCUGGGAGCAGGUCCAUGCUCUCAGAGAGGGUGUGAGCUGCUGUGCCAGCCCAGGAGACAGGAAUUGUCCCUUCAGAGCUGUUCCUGGAGGUGGCUCUGAGCUUUCACACUGGCCCUGUACUUGCUCUUGCUGUGUCUGGGACAGGUGAUGUGUUCCAUGGGGUUGAGCUUUGUCGAGGGCUGGGCUCUGGGGUGGGGCAGGGGUCCCACAGCCCUGUGGGGUGGGCACUGACCCAGGCAGGGGUCCCACAGCCCUGUGGGUUGGGUACAGAUGAUGCUGGUGCUGAUGCUCUUUGGCAGUCUCAUCAUCAGGACAGGAAUCUGGUUGGGUCCCUGGGAUAAAAACACUUUAUUGACUGUAAACAAGCCUAUUUUCACAGAGACUUCUCAGUCUGGCCUGGAGAAUGUGGGAGCUUUGGUCCAGAAGAAUUUAUAGCUUGUAACUUCUGAACUGCUCAUUGUGCACACAGGAAAACAACCAAGGCAUCUCAUCUCACCAGAGCAGCUGGUUGUGGUGGCAAAGCCUGAUUAGAGGAGAUACAAGAUGAUCUCUGAGUGUGAUUUUGUGGAGUGAGGGGUAACAGGACGAGUGUUUGAAGCCAUUCUUCAGGAGGAUAAAGCUGUUCUUUAGCCAUACUCCAGUGCCUGCCCUGGUAGGAAGUCACAGCUGUCCUUCAAGGAGGAUGAAGGUCUCACUGUGCUGAUCCAUGGAGGUAUGGCCAGAUUUGCAUUCCUCCUGUGGGAGGCAGGUGUGAUAUCACCCUUUAAAGGUCCGUAGUUUUCUAUAGAGGAAGAGAAAAGCCAAGUUGGCUUUUCAUUUUAAGCUUUACCAGAAGAAAAGGGACUGUGGUGAGGGGUUAUCUAAGGCAGCACAGUCUCUUGUCAUUCACAGGGUGAUGAGGUUGAUUCUGGCCCUGAGGUGAAGAGAGGCCCAGCUCACAGCUGCAGGGUCCUGUGAGCCUGGCCUGGGUGCUGUGACAAGGAAGAGUCGGGCACUGCUCCUUUUCUGUCAGUGACUUCCCACGGGCAGCAUUAAGAAUUGUUGUACUGUAGCAGGGGGAUGUCUCAAAGUAUCAAAGUUUAUUCAGUAAUUAUUUAACAUUUGCCUAUAUCUCUUUCAGAGCUGCUCUGGGGGUAUUUUCUGGAGCAUCAUUGUGGCUCUGGGUGGGAUUCUUUUCUGUCCUGUUGAGAUCUGUAUGGGAUUUAAAAACCUGGGAUUCCUGCUCUCUGUGGCUUAUCUGGAGACUACCAGCUCAAAAAAGCUGUCCCAGAACUCAUCCCAGUGUUUUGGAUUUUGCUGAAGAGAUGUUUAAUUGAAAACUUCUUAGUCCAUAAGCCAGACCCUUACCACAGAGGCAAAAUCUUUUUACUUUUCCCUCAAAGAUGCCAUGAGUGAAAUGAUGAAGGUACAGAAUUUUUCCAUGCUCUGGUUUCUCACAGAGCAAAUUGGCUGCAGAGUCCACUCUGGCUUGGUAUCAGAAGGGAAAAACCUUCACUUUUAUGAGGUAAUUCCUUGGUGUGCUUUUAGACCCACAGGUCCCAGCUGGGGCUGUGCAGAGACUGAAGGACUGAAGGAGCACAGACUGGAUCACACCAGCAGGAGGAGAAAACCUUGGCUCCCCUAAAUCCUGCUGCUGGGGAGAGCAGGAAUUGCCUGGUGCCAACACAGAAUGCAACCAGCACAGCAAGAAAUUCUUCUCCCUCCCCAGGGGCCAUGAGGGGGUUUCAGCCUCUCACAGUGUCCAGAUAGAGGAGCUGGUUUGAGGAUAUUGCUUAUGGGAAUAUUUUGGGAACUCAUUAAAAAGAGAAUUAGAGGCCAGCCCUGGUGUGAUUGAGAUAAGGUGGUGUGUAAAUGUGCAGGAGACAUGAAAAUCCUCUCAAUAAUUAAAUUCAAUUAAUUGUUUUACAGCUGCUCAGCAAAUACCAUGAGGUUCAGGUGGGGAGAUGCAGUGCUGGGAUUCCACAAGGUUUGGAUGGAGCAGGUAAGAGACUGUGGUGUGUGCAGCACCUGGUUUGUGCUGAAGAGGAAAAUUAUUUACAAAGCAGAAGUAUUGGCAAACUGGCUUUGCUGGAGACCUGUGGGACAGUGAGCCAAGAGCAAGUACAGCAGCCACAGCCCCUUGUUCUGGGGAAAGCAGUGCAGGGGGCUGGGGAGGAAAGGAGCUCUGACCCCUGUGAGAGGGAGUUAAUUCUGCAUCUCAGUAUGAAAGCCCUGACAGCAAAUGGCAUCAUAAAACAGCUGCUUUAAUAAGACAGAAUAAAAAGAAGGAUCUGUAAUAGCUUGAGGAACCAAAAAGGAAGAACUUCUCUCCAGGGAAGGGAUAUGUGCAGCACUGGGGAAAAUCCAUCCUGGGUCCAUCCCACGCUGCACAAAUGCAGGGUGCUCUGCAUGAGGUUUACUUGCCCUUGAUAUUUCUCUUUUUACUCUGCCUUGUUAAAACAGAUGUUUUAUGAAGCCUUUUGCUGUUGGGCACUUCUCACUGAGACUGGAGAGACCCCCACACCACAUCCUUCCCCAGCCCAGGGAGUGUCCCUGAGGAAAUGGCUGUGCUUGUUGGGGGACUAGGGACAGACUCACUGCUCCCCUCAGAGCAGAGCCAAGGCUCUGCUGCCUCCCUGGCCAUCCCCAGCCUGGGGAAACAAGAGGCUUGUGCCAGACCCUGCUCUGAAGUGCCUCACUCAGGUCCCCAUUGCUUCCCUGCAUGAAGCAGCAGUGACUCCUGGAAGGGGACAGCAGUGCUGCGUGUUGUGUAGGGGCAGCCAGCAUCACCCCACGAGCUGGGGGCUCACAAACAGCCAUGCCAGGCUGGGGAGAGCUCACAAAUGCCAGAGUGUCAGGGUCCUGGCAGGGGCAGUAGGAUGGAGCCCUGGGAUGCUCCUGGCUGGUGCCUGCUUGCACCAUGACUGCUGCCAGGACCAGAUGAGGGUGACCACGGCCCCACUGGGCUCAGCCUCAUCAACCCCAAACAGUGCAGGGCCCCUGUGCCCAUGCUGGGUGGUCUCCUGGGGAUACACCCCCUCCUGGGGAGGAAAGACCACCUGGAUAUUCACCCUCAGCCUCCCAAGCUGCUCUAUAAGGCCCCUGCCCUGUGUGACAUGUCCCACCAAGGGGACUUGGGCUCUGUCACCCUUGCACCUGCCCUCCAGGUAGUUCUUAGCCAUUAACUCAGCCCUAAAGUUCCUCUCAGACAGACUAAACAAGGCCACCUCCCAUCAUCCCUCCUUUUAGUGCCCUGUCCCUGCCCCAGUGAGUCUGUGAGUGUGAUCCAGCCUUCAGAGGCAGGAGCAGCACCCCUGGGGCAGAUAAGUGUUGGUGCUGUCAGUGCCCCAUCACUCCUGCAGCAAGCAGAGCCUCCCACUGAAGCCUCUGUCUUGUCAGAGCUGGCCUGGCAUCCUUCCUCUUGGGUCUGUGCUGCUCAGAGUGACCCCAAGAUGGGCAGGAAAGUCUCUUUUCCCAGCCCAGUGCUUGAAGAAGGAGUCAGAGCUCUUCAGUUCUCGGUCUCAAGGUUGUUUAUUGUUCCUUAUCUAUAAAAUUCUUUCUACUGUUCAGCUGAGGUCCUCUCAGCAGGUCAGACAGAGGCACUCUGCCUGCCCUGGGGCAGUGUUAUGUCUUUAUACUAAAAACUACGUGUACAAUAUUUACAAUUACUUUCCAAUACCUAUCCCCUAUGUUAGACAGUGAGCUUCUACUCUAAACCAAUCUGUAAGUGGCAACAUCACAGCAGAAGAUGGAAGCUAAGAAGAAGAAGGAGAAAGGCAGGACAUGCCCAGAUUCCUCCAUCUUGCCCCCUGAACCCCCAUUCUAGAAACCCCAAAAAUCUAUUUUUCACCCUGUGAUAAAUUCACUAUCAUUCUACUUAAACUGUUGUGGCUUGCUGAUCUUCAUCUAAGGUUGGUAACUUGCUCCAUGGGUCAUAAUCAAACCCACAGGGGCAUUUUGGGCUCUGUGCCAGGGUCUCUGAGCCCCUUGGGCAGGGGUCUUGGCUGCUCAGGACAGACAGAGGGAUGUCCCAAAUUCCAACACUUCCCAGGGGAUGAAUUUUGGGUGAGGAAAUCCAAAUUGCUGUCCCUGGCUGUGCAGGGUUAAUCUCAGUGGAGAUGCAUGAGCUGCUGUGUAGGAGCAUCGGGGCUAGGACGGUUGGGAUGGACGGAGAUGAGAGAUCUCUGCAGCCAGGUCAGGAACUUGGGGUUUAUUGCAAAGGGCCGGGGUGCAGGGCCCUGCUGGGAGCUGCCAAACACAGCUGGAGCAGCCUGAGAGAAGAGAGAGGGAGAGAGGAUGGGAGGGUAAGAGAGUAAGAGGGGCAAAAGAGCGAGGUUCUCAUUACAAUACAAUAAAUCUUCUUCUGUGUUGAAUAUUCUGAUUCUCACUAACCAAUGUAGUACAAAAUACAAAUCCUACAGCAUUUACAUACAGCCUAUAAGAAUUAUUACAUUACCACACUGUGUUACAUUUUAAACCCUAAAAACUCCUCUUUGGGCCCUUCUGCCAAGCUGGCAGGGUCUGCUCUGACCCUUGGGCCUGUCUGCAAGCAGAGGGUGUUGUUCCAUCAAAAGGGGAUCACCUUCAGCUGGCCAUGCCAUUGUUUUCCAGUUGUUCAGUAACUGAGGGAUCUCAAAGCUUGCUUUCAUUUCAAUCUCGCUUAUAGUUUCCAUAUUCUCAAAAUCCUUUGCCAAGCAAUCAUAUUCAUAAAGCUUUCCUGUUUCAUUUUCCCCAGCAGUGCUGCCUGUGUCCUGAGCUCCAGGCAGGAGGUGCUCAGCAAAAGGCUGAGGAGGGAAAGCCUGGGAGGGCAGCGUGGCCUGGGGUGCUUGGGAGAGUCUGGAGGUGCCCAGGAGGGAGGAUCCAGCACGUGCACGUGGGUGCCCACGGCUCACACAGGGAGAUGCAGCAGAUGAGCUGCCUUGCUCGGUUUGUAGCCUCCCACUGCUGUUGCACAGGCUUUGCGAGGAGGAGAAGGAGCUGAAAAUGGAGCUGAAAAUGGAAACUUGAGGCUCAGAUGCUUGGAGGGGCUCAGGAGCCCGGCUGAACCCAUCACUCCUCAGGGAAGCAGGAGCUUCUGUUCCUCCUGGGCCCUGUGUCCUUCUCUCAUGCCCAGCACAGAGCGAGACAUUCAUGCUCCACCUUGGAGCAAAAGUCAUUUUCAUUAACUUAUUGAGCAAAGGAGACAUAAAGACACAAUUUAAUUGCAAACCACAGGAUUACAGUGUGAGAUGAAUUGAGGAUAGAAUGAGGGAGGAAAAGAAAAAACAACUUGGUCUUAUUUUUUAAUUUGCACCCCUUUAGCUGGCAGAGGAAGAGCUGGGUGAGGACAUGGCAGUGCCAUGGUGUGCCCUGGUGGGUGGGAUCCAGCAUUCAGGAUCUGGCUACCUCAAAACUGGUUUGGACAGUCCCAGUGGCUGCAGCUUGGCCCCUGGUAGGUGCAGGAUGAGAGCCUGGUGUGCAGGGAGCCAUGGGUACUUGUCCUGUGGGUUUCCUGCCUGGAUUCAGCUCCUGCUGCCCUGGGUGUUGCUUUUGGAGAGUGCAGGAUGUUCUUGGGAAGUGCAUGGCAACAGGAGAGCACCAGGAGAGCAAACAGGGCUCCUCUUCAGCCCCUCACAUGCAGCAGCACCCCUGACCUCAUCCCAGCUCUCCUUGCAAAGGGCAGGAUGGAAAGGUGAGGGAUGAGGCUCUAGAACCCCUCCAAUCCCCCUGGCUUCUUGCAGAAACUGCUAAUUAAAGAGCCCAUUUCACCAAACGAUUUUUUUUUCUGAUGUGAAAACUUUUCCAUAAGGAACUAGUCCCGAAUCCACCAACUCAUUUCACAUUUAUUUUAAAUCUCAGCUUUAUAUUCUGUAGUUUCCUCCAGGGCUUGAUUAUCUUCUCAGUAAAAGCUCUGUUGUUCUGGUUUGUGGGACCUAUAUUUAGCCUUGCCCUCAGGUCUGUGCACCUCUCAGUGCAGGGCUCAGAUGCUGCCACCCGAGCUCCUGGGCUUUCCUAUUUAUUUGGGUCUAUUAAACAAGUUACCAUUUCUGUAAUAUCAAGGGCAUUUUCCAGCCACAGGCUGCCUACAAGCAGUAACUUGUUGCUGCAGAAAUGGUCUCCUGGAUCUCAGAAGUAAUUUGGAGAGGGUCUCUUGUCUAACAAUGGCAAAUUAUGUUUAAACAGGGAAUCAAGGGCAAAGCCAAAGAGCCUUGUCCUUCUCUCUUAUUGUGGUGGUAUCUCAAGUCCUCAUUCCCCAUGUUUCCUACACAUGUAAUAAGGCAUACACCCACUCAGCAUAUUUUUACAUAAAAAUACACAAAACAGGCAAAAGUGGGAGGGGACUUUGCCUAUGAAGGGAAUUCAGAAGUGCACAGGCAUACCUGCUGCCCUGGUGUGGCUGCAAUUGUUAUUUGAUACACAGGGGGGUGUAAGGAGGUUGUGCGGAGAGAAAGGAGAGAGUGAGAAAGAGAGAAUCAUCUGAGUGGCUGGCAGUGAAAUCCAGCCCAGGGAGAAUCUCUGGGAUGGAGGGGUCUCUCAGGCUGGGAUACACCAUCCUGUGGGGAGCAUUGCUCCCACUGCUGCCAUUUUCACCCUGGCAUCUCUCUGGUGACACAUCUCAGCUCCUGGCACUGCUGUCCUUCUGGGGGACGUGAAACGCUGCCUGGCUGAUCAUCAGCUCCCUGCCAGUGUCCACCUCUGCCAGUGCCACCACAGGAACCCUCUGGCUCUGGGCAGGGGUGCCCUGCAGAGGCUCCUCCGCCCUGAGUGGAGCCCUGCAGGAGCUGGAGCUGCUGUGGAUGUGUUGGGUGCAGCUGUGUCCAAGGAACGAGCCAAGGCACGCGACAGCAAUGAUCCACGAGCAAAAUCUGGGUGCUGCAACAUCUGAUUGGAAGGCUGGGAGGAAAAAAAGGGAAGGCUGAAUUGUUUAUGGUUUGUUUUUCAUUCAUCAUUCCUGCUUGUGUGGGUGGACAAGGAGUGAAUGAGUUUCUCGGGGAGGGCAGCAAAUAAAAGAGGCACACAUUUCCUUGAA